This 253-nucleotide ribosomal RNA is filed under the name uncultured bacterium. RNAcentral's name for it is "partial 16S ribosomal RNA". It matches the Rfam family "Bacterial small subunit ribosomal RNA", at positions 524 to 776 of the family's 1533-position model. The record is from RNAcentral.
UACGGAGGGAGCUAGCGUUGUUCGGAAUUACUGGGCGUAAAGCGCACGUAGGCGGCGAUUCAAGUCAGAGGUGAAAGCCCGGGGCUCAACCCCGGAACUGCCUUUGAAACUAGAUUGCUAGAAUCCUGGAGAGGUUAGUGGAAUUCCGAGUGUAGAGGUGAAAUUCGUAGAUAUUCGGAAGAACACCAGUGGCGAAGGCGACUAACUGGACAGGUAUUGACGCUGAGGUGCGAAAGCGUGGGUAGCAAACAGG